This 1346-nucleotide ribosomal RNA is filed under the name uncultured bacterium. Its description in RNAcentral is "partial 16S ribosomal RNA". It matches the Rfam family "Bacterial small subunit ribosomal RNA", at positions 28 to 1381 of the family's 1533-position model. The record is from RNAcentral.
GACGAACGCUGGCGGCGUGCUUAACACAUGCAAGUCGAACGGAAAGGCCCUGCUUUUGUGGGGUGCUCGAGUGGCGAACGGGUGAGUAACACGUGAGUAACCUGCCCUUGACUUUGGGAUAACUUCAGGAAACUGGGGCUAAUACCGGAUAGGAGCUCCUGCUGCAUGGUGGGGGUUGGAAAGUUUCGGCGGUUGGGGAUGGACUCGCGGCUUAUCAGCUUGUUGGUGGGGUAGUGGCUUACCAAGGCUUUGACGGGUAGCCGGCCUGAGAGGGUGACCGGCCACAUUGGGACUGAGAUACGGCCCAGACUCCUACGGGAGGCAGCAGUGGGGAAUAUUGCACAAUGGGCGGAAGCCUGAUGCAGCAACGCCGCGUGCGGGAUGACGGCCUUCGGGUUGUAAACCGCUUUCGCCUGUGACGAAGCGUGAGUGACGGUAAUGGGUAAAGAAGCACCGGCUAACUACGUGCCAGCAGCCGCGGUGAUACGUAGGGUGCGAGCGUUGUCCGGAUUUAUUGGGCGUAAAGGGCUCGUAGGUGGUUGAUCGCGUCGGAAGUGUAAUCUUGGGGCUUAACCCUGAGCGUGCUUUCGAUACGGGUUGACUUGAGGAAGGUAGGGGAGAAUGGAAUUCCUGGUGGAGCGGUGGAAUGCGCAGAUAUCAGGAGGAACACCAGUGGCGAAGGCGGUUCUCUGGGCCUUUCCUGACGCUGAGGAGCGAAAGCGUGGGGAGCGAACAGGCUUAGAUACCCUGGUAGUCCACGCUGUAAACGGUGGGUACUAGGUGUGGGGUCCAUUCCACGGGUUCCGUGCCGUAGCUAACGCUUUAAGUACCCCGCCUGGGGAGUACGGCCGCAAGACUAAAACUCAAAGGAAUUGACGGGGCCCCGCACAAGCGGCGGAGCAUGCGGAUUAAUUCGAUGCAACGCGUAGAACCUUACCUGGGUUUGACAUGGAUCGGGAGUGCUCAGAGAUGGGUGUGCCUCUUUUGGGGUCGGUUCACAGGUGGUGCAUGGCUGUCGUCAGCUCGUGUCGUGAGAUGUUGGGUUAAGUCCCGCAACGAGCGCAACCCUUGUUCACUGUUGCCAGCACGUUAUGGUGGGGACUCAGUGGAGACCGCCGGGGUCAACUCGGAGGAAGGUGGGGACGACGUCAAGUCAUCAUGCCCCUUAUGUCCAGGGCUUCACGCAUGCUACGAUGGCUGGUACAGAGAGUGGCGAGCCUGUGAGGGUGAGCGAAUCUCGGAAAGCCGGUCUCAGUUCGGAUUGGGGUCUGCAACUCGACCUCAUGAAGUCGGAGUCGCUAGUAAUCGCAGAUCAGCAACGCUGCGGUGAAUACGUUCCCGGGGCU